GCGGGAGUGGCGCAGUGGUAGCGCAUCUGCCUUCCAAGCAGACUGUCGCGGGUUCGAAUCCCGUCUCCCGCU
This 72-nucleotide transfer RNA is filed under the name Anaerolineae bacterium. Its description in RNAcentral is "tRNA-Gly". It matches the Rfam family "tRNA". Rfam says of the family: Transfer RNA (tRNA) molecules are approximately 80 nucleotides in length. Their secondary structure includes four short double-helical elements and three loops (D, anti-codon, and T loops). Further hydrogen bonds mediate the characteristic L-shaped molecular structure. tRNAs have two regions of fundamental functional importance: the anti-codon, which is responsible for specific mRNA codon recognition, and the 3' end, to which the tRNAs corresponding amino acid is attached (by aminoacyl-tRNA synthetases). tRNAs cope with the degeneracy of the genetic code in two manners: having more than one tRNA (with a specific anti-codon) for a particular amino acid; and 'wobble' base-pairing, i.e. permitting non-standard base-pairing at the 3rd anti-codon position. Lineage: Bacteria; Bacillati; Chloroflexota; Anaerolineae. The record is from RNAcentral.